CCCUUAGAUGAUUUGGGCUGCACGCGCGCUACACUGACCCUACCAAUGAGCAACUGUCUGGCCUGAGAUGGCUGGGUAGCCUUUUCAACCCAUGUCAUGAUUGGGCUAGAUUUUUGUAAGUCUUGAUCUCUAACGAGGAAUCCCUAGUAUGUGUGAAUCAUCAAUCCAUGCAGAUUAUGUCCCUGCCCUUUGUACACACCGCCCGUCGCUCCUACUGAUUGGGUGAUCCGGUGAGCUGUUCGGCCAUAGCAAUGUUUCUUGAGCAGGGCAAUGAAUGUUUCGCAAACCUUGCCACUUAGAGGAAGGAGAAGUCGUAACA
Molecule: ribosomal RNA, 319 nt
Filed under: uncultured eukaryote
Lineage: Eukaryota
Description: partial 18S ribosomal RNA
Rfam family: Eukaryotic small subunit ribosomal RNA
Source: RNAcentral